Molecule: ribosomal RNA, 649 nt
Filed under: Gonyaulax spinifera
Lineage: Eukaryota; Dinophyceae; Gonyaulacales; Gonyaulacaceae
Description: partial Bacterial large subunit ribosomal RNA
Rfam family: Bacterial large subunit ribosomal RNA
Source: RNAcentral
UAAAGAGGCGUAAAGAAUUUGGCAAGUAACUUGUCUAACUUAGGGAUAACAAUGGUGUUUAUCGGGCGACUGUAUAGCAAAUACACAGGGUUUAGUUAAAGAUGUUUAUAUUUUAGAGCUGAUAUGUGACCAGUAUUUAUAGGACAGGUCGGAUCCAUAAGAAUUAUUGCUUAAAAAUACCGAAAGUACAGGGCCGCUAAAGUCUGCCUCGACAAACGUUGGCCGUAACAAUAACGGUCCCAAGGUAGCAAAUUUCCUUGUCGUUUAAGUAACGACCUGCAUGAAGGAUGGAACGAUUCGAUAGCUGUCUUGCGUACAUGUGCUGGUGAAAUAUUAGGUAGUGUGAAGAUACGGUAACGAUGUUAUGGGACAAAAAGACCCUGUGAAGCUUUAUAGGGAUAGAAUUUAGUACGGGUUCUAUAUUGGUAUAUCUUCAUUUUAUGGAAAAACAGCUUGUUUGUACCAAAUAUAGCUUAAAAUGAGAUACCAUUCAUUCAGAAUACGACCAAAGACCAAUUUCUGUCUUUAAUGUUAGAUGGGCUGUUUAAUUGGGGCGAUGACCUUCUUUAAUCGAACUAAAGGUGAACAAAGCUAUAUCACUUUUCCAGGACUAGUAAGUGCAAAGAUAGAUGUGUGGCUUAAUGGUCAA